This 1457-nucleotide long non-coding RNA is filed under the name Triticum aestivum (bread wheat). RNAcentral's name for it is "long non-coding RNA (TAES_LNC020646)". The record is from RNAcentral. Lineage: Eukaryota; Viridiplantae; Streptophyta; Magnoliopsida; Poales; Poaceae.
AUGAAUCAUAUUUGAACCAUUGUUAUGAACUAAAAGAAACAUCAAAUAAUUAAUAAAGAUAUCUCUCGAUAUAUAUCAUCACUUGUAUACAUCAAUGAGAAAGCAUCAUCAUCCACGACAUGUUUGCCAAAGAAAAAAAAGCCUGCUAGCUAGUAAUGUAUUUGCUACUGGUAGACAAUUAAACGUUCAAUCAGCAUGUACAUAUGCCCAAGAAAACAACAUCAACGAAGUGAUCGGCUGCCAAGUAGCAACAAGAUCAGUGCACCAGUUCCAUAUUGACUGGGAAAAACUCCCAAAAAAUAUCCCUUCAUCACCUGAACCAAGCCCCAUGUUUAAUCCUUGGGCAGAAACACGUGAGGUUACAUUAUGUUCCUGAAAAUAGUAGUGACAAGCAGCUUAGCAUUUUGAUGUAAAACAUGAACAUUUCGUAUGAAUUUUGGCAGCAUAACAUAUGUAAAUUAAACAAUAUGGCUAUAAGAAAAUAGGGUAUGCCAAAUUAAUCAAAAUCAAACACAAAUGAGAUAACAACAACAACAACACACACACACACGUGCUAACAUCGCACAUCGCACUUGUAUCAUCUAUUAUCUUAGGCAAACAAAAUGCAAAAAAUCAUCAAUAUCCUAUUCAUUAGCAACCAUUAGGAUGAUUUAAAGGAUAUUAGUUGCUACAUGAAGUCCAAGAGAGAUCAAUAUUUUGUGAUGCAACACUAUAUGAAAAGAAAUGACAAAUAUAUUAACCAAAAGCUUCCUCUAAUUAUAAAUACUAAUCAGCUACCCUUGCAGGCACACAUGCUAGCACAUGGAAAUGAGGAAACAGAUCUGAAUAAAUAGCAUGUAUUCAUCCGUAGAUGCAAAAAAGGUGAAGCUUAUCCAUAUAUCCGCCAAAGAUGAAGUAGGAAUAAGAUAACUGUGCAUCCAUCAACAAAAUUAUGCACUCAAUAACAAAAUUGGCCGACAAAACCAAGCAAAUAUUAACACCUAACGCCAAUGGUCCCUAUGUCGGGUUGUCCCUACUUAAAUUUUCAUUCAAUUGAUCAAAGUGAAUCUUUCGAAUGUGACCACAUAAGAAAACCAUUGGCACUGCACAUGACAAAGAAUGAGAAAAAUAAGCUUACAAUUUAUGGUGUCCGGUCCAUUUGGGCCAACCUAAUGCCCUGCUUCAAAGGAAAGAAAUCAAAAACACAACUUCGAAAUGAUGAAGUCAUGUGCUUGUAUCUGCUAUUCAGCUUGUUCUCCUCAACUUCAAGUGCUGAAAAAUCCACAAAAAGGGAUCAAUCCUUUUGAAUGCGUGAGAAAAAAAUGAACAUUAGAUGGUUCUAACAUAAUAAAUUGAGGCCACUGAUCUAAGAAAAAGGAAGAAAAAACUAUAAGGCACAGAGGAUGCGUGCAUUCUCAUUGCUUGAUGUUGUGAAAAAAGUCAAUACAAACUUUGGAUCUCAGAUUCUUGUGACCCAC